Molecule: non-coding RNA, 644 nt
Organism: Hydra vulgaris (swiftwater hydra)
Lineage: Eukaryota; Metazoa; Cnidaria; Hydrozoa; Anthoathecata; Hydridae
Source: RefSeq, a predicted model, not a curated record
AGUAAGAGGGGUACGAACAAGUUUAAUUUUAUUUGUGUGACUUGUUUAUAGUUUCUAAAAUUUUAUUGGUUUCAUUGAAAUUGAAAACAUAAGCGUUGAUUACUAUAAUUCUAGCUAUAGGUUGUGGGUAACCAUUACCACUCUAUUUAACAAACUUCUCAACUUAACCAAAAUUUACGAAUAGCAGCGAAAAGACUUUUUUUUCAAAAGUAGGCUCGGUUGUGGUCUUUAUCUUUAGCUUGUAGAUUAUACUUGGUGCAAAAAGCCUAAUUCAGGUUUUAAAUUGUUAACUUAUUUUAAAUUGUUAACUCAUUGUCAGGUUUUAAAUUGUUAACUCAUUUUAAAAUAAUUAUAGUUGUUAUUAUAAAGAUUGAUUUAUUUUACUUAUUUAUUUUUUUAGGUUAAAGGGGGGGGGGGGCACACGCCCCUCCCACAAGUCAAUAAGCACACCACCAAUAAAUGAAAUUCUUGUAGCAAAAAAAAUUUUUAUGUUUUUUAUACUGUGUACUAGUUUCACUUAUUUUAUUAAAUAUAGAAAUAUUUAUUUAUAAUUAGAGAAUUAAAUAUUUUUGAAAUUAGGGUGUAUUAAACCAUCACCACCAUAUCCACCACCAACUUUAAUAAACAUCAAUCAUUGACGGUCU